AUGGGCCCCAAAAAUAUACUGGUAGUCUUAUUGGUUUCGUGUCUGGUCGCAGAAAUAAAGACAAUGUUUCAGGGCGGUGGCGGUAUACUGGCUGAGUUGGGGCACGCCGAGCAGGGCUUGCGUCGGUUGAAUUGGAUCCGAGAAAACAGGAGGAGGAUCCUGUCCAUGGAUAGAUGCAUCGAAUCGUGGUGCGUUUGGUUUGCGACCCCGAGGACGCGGCGGGAAAAGAAGAGGGUCACCAAUGAGGCUUGCCAUCGGGCUUUUGAGGCCUUCAAAGAGAUCUUCCACAGUCAGGAACAAGGGAUCUGCGGCCGGGCCUACGACGCACAGUGCCGCUUCCACAACAAUCAGUAUCAGUGCACAGCUCAUCACGGCAACGGCAACCAGGUCAUCUCGCUCCAGGAGCCAUGUAUGGUGGCGGUAUACUGGCUCAGUUGGGGCAAGCCGAGCAGGGCUUGCGUCGGUUGAAUUGGAUCCGAGAAAACAGGAGGAGGAUCCUGUCCAUGGAUAGAUGCAUCGAAUCGUGGUGCGUUUGGUUUGCGACCCCGAGGACGCGGCGGGAAAGAAGAGGGUCACCGAUAUGGCUUGCGAACAGGCUUUCGAGGCCUUCAAGAGAUCUUCCACAGUCGGGAACAAGGGAUCUGCGGCCGGACCUACGACGCCCGGUGCCGCUUCCACAACGAUCAGUAUCAGUGCACAGCUCGGCAUGGCAAUGGCAACCAAAUCAUCUCGCUCCAGGAGUGCGUCUACGAUAUCCCUUUGCAGCAGCCCGUCCACCCCGAACCAGAACAUCCUAGCAUGAGGUGUCGAAUCAUCAUAUGGACGUAUUUCUAUCAAACGGAACUAAGCGCCAUCAGGGGAGGAAGGUAGAGGUAGAGGGGGGCUUGGAUUGGCGGCGGAAACGGGCGCCGUGCUCAAUCCGUCCUAUACUCGCAAUGCUUUUCCAUGGCGCUUAGGUCCGUUUGACAGAACGGGCUAUCCGGCAUUCUAAAUUCAUCAAAAGGAACUCAAAUUGGCGCUUAGGUCCGUUUGGUAGAAAUACGUCCAUAUCAUCAUACUCUUUGAUAUAAAUGGACGUAUUUCUACAAACGUUUUCUUUUUUUUUUCGUUUUUUAUGGACGUGUUUCAAUAUGUAAUUUGUGUUUCCAAUUUACACAUGUAUUAAAAUGUUCAAAUUUUAUUCAAGAUAUUUAAAUUGAUGUAGGUAUUUCAUUUUUUUCUUUUUUUUAAAUCUCUCUCUUUCUCUCUCUCCUCUCCCUCUUUUGUAUUUCAUCAAUCAAUGUUUUACUUUAUACUAGAAUCUUUUUCUAGAUUUAAUUAAUAAUUUUCUACAAUAUGUACUUGUGUUUUUCUCAUUUCCUUUGUUAUUUUAUUUCAUCAUGUUAUUUGUGUUUCAAAUUCUUUAUUAAUUGUAUUUAAGAUAUUCAUAUUCAUGUAUUUCAAUUAAUUUUUUUUUUCGUUCUUUUUUUAUCAAAUUACUGUUUUUAUAAUUGCUUCUUUUUCCAGUUUUCAUUUGGGUCUAUUUCUGAUUUUAAUUUAUGUCGAUGUAUUCGUAUUAUUUAUUUAUUUAUUCAUUCAUCUAUUUUAUUUUAUUUUUUUAAAAUGUAUUUUAAUAUUUUUCCCCCACUCUUUUCUAUUUUCUUUUUUCUCUCUCUAUUUUCUAUAAUUAUCAGUUAAAUUUAUUUUAUGUCUGAUCCGGCAGAUUAAUUGGGCAUCCCAAUUUGCCGGGCAGAUCAAUGUUGUGUUUAUUUUAUGUUUUAAUUUUUGAAUAAAAAUAUCUUAUCUUAUCUAUUAAACAGAACCAUGCACUAUGGUCUGGGAGCGCCGAAUCGUGGCCAAAAUCCGAUUUUUGAAAGUACGAAAAUCAAGCAGUCGAGCAUAUAAUCCUUAUCUACAUCCUUUAGUACG
This 1908-nucleotide long non-coding RNA is filed under the name Bemisia tabaci. Its description in RNAcentral is "lncRNA ENSSSA3NGG001388". The record is from RNAcentral. Lineage: Eukaryota; Metazoa; Arthropoda; Insecta; Hemiptera; Aleyrodidae.